CCUACGGGAGGCAGCAGUGAGGAAUAUUGGUCAAUGGACGCAAGUCUGAACCAGCCAUGCCGCGUGCAGGAUGACGGCUCUAUGAGUUGUAAACUGCUUUUGUACGAGGGUAAACCCCGAUACGUGUAUCGUGUUGAGUGUAUCGUACGAGUAAGGAUCGGCUAACUCCGUGCCAGCAGCCGCGGUAAUACGGAGGAGCCGAGCGUUAUCCGGAUUUAUUGGGUUUAAAGGGUGCGUAGGCGGUUUGAUAAGUUAGAGGUGAAAUGUCGGGGCUCAACCCCGAAACUGCCUCUAAUACUGUUGGACUAGAGAAUAGUUGCGGUAGGCGGAAUGUAUGGUGUAGCGGUGAAAUGCUUAGAGAUCAUACAGAACACCGAUUGCGAAGGCAGCUUACCAAACUAUAUCUGACGUUGAGGCACGAAAGCGUGGGUAGCAAACAGGAUUAGAUACCCGUGUAGUC
Molecule: ribosomal RNA, 460 nt
Filed under: uncultured bacterium
Lineage: Bacteria
Description: partial 16S ribosomal RNA
Rfam family: Bacterial small subunit ribosomal RNA
Source: RNAcentral